This 492-nucleotide ribosomal RNA is filed under the name uncultured bacterium. Its description in RNAcentral is "partial 16S ribosomal RNA". It matches the Rfam family "Bacterial small subunit ribosomal RNA", at positions 29 to 507 of the family's 1533-position model. The record is from RNAcentral.
AGUGAACGCUGGCGGUAGGCCUAACACAUGCAAGUCGAACGGCAGCACAGUAAGAGCUUGCUCUUACGGGUGGCGAGUGGCGGACGGGUGAGGAAUACAUCGGAAUCUACUUUUUCGUGGGGGAUAACGUAGGGAAACUUACGCUAAUACCGCAUACGACCUACGGGUGAAAGCAGGGGAUCUUCUGACCUUGCGCAAUUGAAUGAGCCGAUGUCGGAUUAGCUAGUUGGCGGGGUAAAGGCCCACCAAGGCGACGAUCGGUAGCUGGUCUGAGAGGAUGGUCAGCCACACUGGAACUGAGACACGGUCCAGACUCCUACGGGAGGCAGCAGUGGGGAAUAUUGGACAAUGGGCGGAAGCCUGAUCCAGCCAUACCGCGUGGGUGAAGAAGGCCUUCGGGUUGUAAAGCCCUUUUGUUGGGAAAGAAAAGCAGCAGGUUAAUACCCCGCUGUUCUGACGGUACCCAAAGAAUAAGCACCGGCUAACUUCGUG